RNAcentral lists this unclassified non-coding RNA (722 nucleotides) under Hevea brasiliensis (rubber tree). Lineage: Eukaryota; Viridiplantae; Streptophyta; Magnoliopsida; Malpighiales; Euphorbiaceae. The record is from RNAcentral.
AAAAAGAGCUGCUCUUUGCCUCUGAUAAUCUGUUGUCAGAUGUAGCAAAGGAUUCCAAGACAGUAAAACACCCAACUUGCUCUCAGACCUUGAGUUCUCUACUUGGUCUGAUCGUAGGUUGGGCAGAGAAAAGGCUGCUUGUAUAUCAUGAUAGCUUUUACAGGGACAACAUUGAUAGCAUGCAAAGUCUUCUCUCUCUGAGUUUAUCAGCUACGGAAAUUUUGGUCGAACACAGUUCAGGCAACUAUCACAAAAGGAGUAAAGAGGUUGAUGUUGCAUUUAGCAGAGUUGAUAGUUACAUCAGGGCUUCGAUGCUCCACACCUUCUCUCAGGGAAAAGAGAGGUUGAUAUCAAGCAGAAAGUCGUCUAAACAACAGCAUAAUCCUCUUCCUAUCCUUUCUAUCCUUGCCCAAAAUGUUAGUGAUCUGGCUUUUAAUGAGAAAGAGAUAUAUAGUGCUGUUCUGAAGAGAUGGCACCCUCUUGCAACUGGUGUAGCUGUUGCGACACUUCAUGCUUGCUAUGGAAAUGAGCUGAAGAAGUUUGUUUCCGGGAUAAGUGAGUUGACUCCAGAUGCUGUACAGGUGCUGAUAGCAGCUGACAAGUUGGAGAAAGAUCUUGUACAGAUGGCUGUUGUGGAUGCUGUUGACAGUGAAGAUGGAGGAAAGUCAUUAAUGACAGAGAUGAUUCCUUAUGAAGCUGAAGCUGUGAUCGCAAACCUCGUA